Molecule: ribosomal RNA, 497 nt
Filed under: uncultured bacterium
Lineage: Bacteria
Description: partial 16S ribosomal RNA
Rfam family: Bacterial small subunit ribosomal RNA
Source: RNAcentral
GACGAACGCUGGCGGCGUGCCUAAUACAUGCAAGUAGAACGCUGAAGCGAGGAGCUUGCUCUUCUUGGAUGAGUUGCGAACGGGUGAGUAACGCGUAGGUAACCUGCCUUGUAGCGGGGGAUAACUAUUGGAAACGAUAGCUAAUACCGCAUAACAAUGGAUGACACAUGUCAUUUAUUUGAAAGGGGCAAUUGCUCCACUACAAGAUGGACCUGCGUUGUAUUAGCUAGUAGGUGAGGUAAUGGCUCACUUAGGCGACGAUACAUAGCCGACCGGAGAGGGUGAUCGGCCACACUGGGACUGAGACACGGCCCAGACUCCUACGGGAGGCAGCAGUAGGGAAUCUUCGGCAAUGGGGGCAACCCUGACCGAGCAACGCCGCGUGAGUGAAGAAGGUUUUCGGAUCGUAAAGCUCUGUUGUAAGUCAAGAACGGGUGUGAGAGUGGAAAGUUCACACUGUGACGGUAGCUUACCAGAAAGGGACGGCUAACUACGUG